CACGUAGUUAGCCGGGGCUUCUUAGUCAGGUACCGUCAUUUUCUUCCCUGCUGAUAGAGCUUUACGUACCGAGAUACUUCUUCACUCACGCGGCGUCGCUGCAUCAUGGUUUCCCCCAUUGUGCAAUAUUCCCCACUGCUGCCUCCCGUAGGAGUUUGGGCCGUGUCUCAGUCCCAAUGUGGCCGUCCACCCUCUCAGGCCGGCUACUGAUCGCUGCCUUGGUGGGCCGUUACCCCCGCAACUAGCUAAUCAGACGCGGAUCCAUCGUAUACCACCGGAGUUUUUCACACUGCCCCAUGCGGAGCCGUGCGCUUAUGCGGUAUUAGCACCUAUUUCUAAGUGUUAUCCCCCGGUAUACGGCAGGUUAUCCACGCGUUACUCACCCGUCCGCCACUAACUCAUAAAUCACUAGGUUUCAAUAUGAGUCCGUUCGACUUGCAUGUGUUAAGCACGCCGCCAGCGUUCAUCCUGAGCCAGGAUCAAACUCU
RNAcentral lists this ribosomal RNA (488 nucleotides) under uncultured Lachnospiraceae bacterium. RNAcentral's name for it is "partial 16S ribosomal RNA". Lineage: Bacteria; Bacillati; Bacillota; Clostridia; Lachnospirales; Lachnospiraceae. The record is from RNAcentral.